GUCUGAAACUCCAAAUACCUUAAACUUAUCUAACGAAACAGCAAAAAGCCAAGACGUUAGGGUUUCAGAUAACAAGUAGUAGGAGGUCCAAAUACGGAGAACAAAUGCCUCAAGAACAAGUCCCAGUGGGAAAUGGAGAGAAUUCCAGAAGGAAAACCCAAAUGGAAUUCUCCGAAAAAAGUAUUCGCUGUAACGCAGCUAUGACUCGAA
RNAcentral lists this unclassified non-coding RNA (210 nucleotides) under Hevea brasiliensis (rubber tree). The record is from RNAcentral. Lineage: Eukaryota; Viridiplantae; Streptophyta; Magnoliopsida; Malpighiales; Euphorbiaceae.